UACGUAGGGUGCAAGCGUUAAUCGGAAUUACUGGGCGUAAAGCGCACGUAGGCGGCGAAGCAAGUCGGGUGUGAAAGCCCUGGGCUCAACCCAGGAAGUGCAUUCGAAACUAUUUCGCUUGAAUCUCGGAGGGGGUCAGAGAAUUCCCGGUGUAGAGGUGAAAUUCGUAGAUAUCGGGAGGAAUACCAGUGGCGAAGGCGCUGACCUGGACGAAGAUUGACGCUGAGGUGCGAAAGCGCGGGGAGCAAACAGG
RNAcentral lists this ribosomal RNA (253 nucleotides) under uncultured bacterium. RNAcentral describes it as "partial 16S ribosomal RNA". It matches the Rfam family "Bacterial small subunit ribosomal RNA", at positions 524 to 776 of the family's 1533-position model. The record is from RNAcentral.